CACGGUUACACAGCAUGACAGCAACAGAAUCCUUCUCCCCAACACAGGGACUUAUCUGUAGUGGGAGUAUGGGAAGACAAACCACAGCCAUCCACUCCCACCAGAUGCACGGUGCUCUUUGCGUUUUCUGAGGAGGGAGGAAAUGACUCUGAGAAGAGCUGGAAGUGUGAGGAAAAGCCUCCUAGAAAAGGAGGAGCAGCAGAUGGCUCAGCGGGUCAAGCCACUUCCUGUGCAAGCCUGACAACUUGAGGUUCAAGCCACCAGGGCCCAACUAAAGAUGGAAGGAGAGAACUGACCUCAUAGCGCUGCCCUCUGACCUCCAUGUGGCAUGCCAUGAGUACCCCCACACACACACAAUACUGAGGGAAAGUCUUAAAAAUUAUCAAGAAAAGAGAACGAGGAAGGGCAGAUGGCCUUCUCUGGCCUCCAGCAGACUGUGCUGCUAGCUGGUUAGAUCGCAUUUGGGUCACAGUGCUGUCUUCUUUGAUGCUCCUUGCGGACCUAAGGGCCAUCUUCAUUGUUUCACUCUUGAUCAGCUAAGCCUCUCCAAGCCACACUCCGCAGUUCCUCUCACUGUUUCCCACCAGGCCAGGGAGAGGCCUUCUUCUCUAGUCUGUUUUGCCUCCUGACUAUGCUACAGAGUGGUGUCUGUAGCACCUUCAUGCGUGCCGCCCUCAGGGGAUGCUAAGUCCCUGUUCUAGAAACCUGACUUCCCAACUCUGUAUGGCUCCAGCCCAAGAACUGGUGGACUUGUUUGGUAAGCCCCAUCUAUCACUGGUGCCUGCUUCCCUCUACUCCCUGGGCUCACCUGCUUUCUGUUUCCUGUCUAUGUUGUGGGCUGUUAUAAACUGGAGGAUCACAA
Molecule: long non-coding RNA, 862 nt
Organism: Apodemus sylvaticus (European woodmouse)
Lineage: Eukaryota; Metazoa; Chordata; Mammalia; Rodentia; Muridae
Exons: 3
Source: RefSeq, a predicted model, not a curated record